RNAcentral lists this transfer RNA (72 nucleotides) under Sphaerodactylus townsendi. RNAcentral's name for it is "tRNA-Ala". It matches the Rfam family "tRNA". Rfam says of the family: Transfer RNA (tRNA) molecules are approximately 80 nucleotides in length. Their secondary structure includes four short double-helical elements and three loops (D, anti-codon, and T loops). The record is from RNAcentral. Lineage: Eukaryota; Metazoa; Chordata; Lepidosauria; Squamata; Sphaerodactylidae.
AGGGCUGUAGUUUGGCUGUAGAACAUCUGCUUGGCAUGCAGAAGAUCCCAGAUUUAAUCCUUGGCAGUCUAG